GACGAACGCUGGCGGCGUGCUUAACACAUGCAAGUCGAACGGUAAGGCCCUUCGGGGUACACGAGUGGCGAACGGGUGAGUAACACGUGGGUGAUCUGCCCUGCACUUCGGGAUAAGCCUGGGAAACUGGGUCUAAUACCGGAUAGGACUCCGGACUGCAUGGUCUGGGGUGGAAAGCUUUUGCGGUGUGGGAUGGGCCCGCGGCCUAUCAGCUUGUUGGUGGGGUGAUGGCCUACCAAGGCGACGGCGGGUAGCCGGCCUGAGAGGGUGACCGGCCACACUGGGACUGAGAUACGGCCCAGGCUCCUACGGGAGGCAGCAGUGGGGAAUAUUGCACAAUGGGCGCAAGCCUGAUGCAGCGACGCCGCGUGAGGGAUGACGGCCUUCGGGUUGUAAACCUCUUUCAGCAUCGACGAAGCGAAAGUGACGGUAGGUGCAGAAGAAGGACCGGCCAACUACGUGCCAGCAGCCGCAGUAA
Molecule: ribosomal RNA, 478 nt
Filed under: uncultured bacterium
Lineage: Bacteria
Description: partial 16S ribosomal RNA
Rfam family: Bacterial small subunit ribosomal RNA
Source: RNAcentral